RNAcentral lists this unclassified non-coding RNA (87 nucleotides) under Pseudomonas yamanorum. Lineage: Bacteria; Pseudomonadati; Pseudomonadota; Gammaproteobacteria; Pseudomonadales; Pseudomonadaceae. The record is from RNAcentral.
UGUGCGAGCUGGCUUGCCUGCGAUACAGGCGCUGCGGUGCAUCAGGCAUACCGCGGUGAUGCAAUCGCAGGCAAGCCAGCUCCCACA